RNAcentral lists this small nucleolar RNA (86 nucleotides) under [Torrubiella] hemipterigena. Lineage: Eukaryota; Fungi; Ascomycota; Sordariomycetes; Hypocreales; Clavicipitaceae. The record is from RNAcentral.
UGUCCGUGAUGAGAAACCUUUUCAUUCAGUUCUGCUACUGAUUAGCACUGAUGACACCUAAUAUACCAUACCAAGAUCUCUGAUAC